This 242-nucleotide long non-coding RNA is filed under the name Elaeis guineensis (African oil palm). RNAcentral's name for it is "long non-coding RNA (EGUI_LNC043554)". Lineage: Eukaryota; Viridiplantae; Streptophyta; Magnoliopsida; Arecales; Arecaceae. The record is from RNAcentral.
AUCCUUCUGCUCCUUUUCAAUAGUUGGUGGAUAAGAGCUGGAUGUUCCAACAUCCUAAAAUAAAAAAAUAAAAUAUUAUUAAUAAGUUUGAUGUAAAGAUGUAUCUUUCGAUAUACUCCUUCGAUUCUCAAACAAAUUAUUCUUAUAUUUUCUUAUUCGAUGAUAUGAAACUAUAGACACCCCCGAUCCAUCAAUUGGAUGGUUAGAUUAAAUUUUUAGUCCCUAAAUCUCCUUUUCCGACU